This 301-nucleotide ribosomal RNA is filed under the name uncultured bacterium. RNAcentral describes it as "partial 16S ribosomal RNA". It matches the Rfam family "Bacterial small subunit ribosomal RNA", at positions 509 to 807 of the family's 1533-position model. The record is from RNAcentral.
CAGUCGCCGCGGUAAUACGUAGGGUGCAAGCGUUAAUCGGAAUCACUGGGCGUAAAGCGUGCGCAGGCGGUUAUAUAAGACAGAUGUGAAAUCCCCGGGCUCAACCUGGGAACUGCAUUUGUGACUGUAUAGCUAGAGUACGGCAGAGGGGGAUGGAAUUCCGCGUGUAGCAGUGAAAUGCGUAGAUAUGCGGAGGAACACCGAUGGCGAAGGCAAUCCCCUGGGCCUGUACUGACGCUCAUGCACGAAAGCGUGGGGAGCAAACAGGAUUAGAUACCCCAGUAGUCCCUGUCUCUUAUAC